AUGGGGUCAACAAAGAUCAAGUCAAUAGUCUCCACCUUUGUACAAGUCAAGGCAUCUAAUCUCCUCCAAUUUUUCAAGUCAUAUUCAAAAAACACAUCCACAGCCAAAACUCAACCUCCUACAAUUGUCUGAUUUUAAGACAUCCUCCACACUUUGAAUGCAGUGCACCUGAAUAACAGGUAAUAAACAAGAAUCUUCCUCGUAAACAUCAAUUUUCCCAUUCAAUCUAUCUCUAGCUGUUUGGUUUUAGAGAUUCCAAGGACGAUGGGUGGCAAGCUUCAAGCUGAAGCAGAUCUUGAUUAUUCCAUGGAAUCAGAAACGAUGUCCACUACAACUCAAUCAUCUUUGGACAAUCAGGGUGGCAGAAACAAAGACAAAAUACAAGUAGAGAAGAAGAUGAAGAAACUGAGAUCAAUCAAGCUCUCAAGAGUUCCAUCAACAAGAAAGGGAAAUCAAUUUCGAUCCAAGUUAUCAGGAUAUGCAGCAAGCUCGGAACAAUCUACUCCUAUAGACAUGUCUGAUGCGUCACCAAAUCAUAUCCAUGCCACAAAGUCGGAGAAUUUUCAGGUAUUACCGACAGCAGAAUCGGGUUUUAAGCUUCUUAGAAGUGUAACCAGAAAGUCCAGCAUGAAAUUCAGAAGGCCACAGAUGAAGAAAUUUUCUGGAGGAACUGAGUUGAAGAAGAAAGGGAAGAAAUCAUCUAGGAGAGAGGUAAAUUCUCAAGAUUCAUCAACUCAUUACUUGAAUGAAACUAGUUCUGAUAUGAAGAAGGAGCAGUUACAAGCGAGUUCCUGUUAUUCUGGACCUAGUUUCGAUAGCAGUGAUCAGGAUAACAACAUUUCUGCAAAUGCAAAACAGUUAGCUUAUCCUGGUAAUAAGUCCGUUAGAGUUGUAAGAACAUCUAGUUUGGGACCUUUGAAGAAGUUAACUAAAAUGGCAAGUUUAAGAUCUAAGAGGACAAAGAAAUGCUCUUCCAUUUCAGACCCAAACGUAGAGAGAGCUACCUGUUCCUCCACACUCAAAGCUUCCAAAUUUCCAGAUCAUUUAGAGAUUAAACCAGGAGGAAAUGAAUCUGAUGGAACUGCAGUCUUGAAUGUCUGCCGAUACAGUUAUUGCUCUCUUCAUGGUCAUCACCAUGGUGACAAACCUCCAUUGAGGAGGUUUGUCUUGAUGAGGAGGCGGGCCGCCAAGAGCCAGAAAAGCUUGAAACCAGACCACCGUCAAACCUCUGGUAAUAGAAAGAAAGGAGCCCAGACAGAGAAAAGAGUCCCUGAUGGGGAUCUUGGGGUUGCAUUUCAACAAACUGUUGAUAUCAGAGAGAUCCCUUCCAUACCAGCAACGGAGGGAAAGGAGGGCAGUGAUUUUGUAGAUUUGGCCGAGAGUGUGCCUGGUGAAUCAUCAUGUCCAAGUCAUGAAGAGCAUCUGCAGCAAAGUAAUAAUCCGCUUAAAGUAGGACAGCAAAGUCCAGGGACAUUUCAAGCAUUCAAACACAUUGAUGUUGAUUGCAGUGGAAUUGGAGAACAACAAAAGGCAAAAUGUGAUACCCCUGGCACCAAUAUUGAAGAGACUAAAAGAAUCAACAAUGGAGACCGUAAGUCCAUUCACGCUCCGGGCCGUCCCGAAGGUGGAGAUGUUACUUCACAGGAGUUUGGAGACCCAUCACAGUUUGCCAAUCUGUCCUUGAAGCCAGAUGACACCUACAAUACCUGUGUUCCAAUGGGCAAAGAAUCUCACAAAGAUAUUAAUGAUGCUCCUGUUACUGGGAUGAUGGAAGAACCAGCUUCAACCAUUGAAGAUAAGAAAGAAGAUUCGGACCUUGAUAGUGGAAUCCUGCAACCUAGAGAUCCUAUGGCUUCUACUAGUAGUACUGACGUGGCACGCAAAACAGAGAUGGAAAAUCAGAAGAAUUUCACAUUUUGGAAAUUAAUAUACCGGCAUAUGGUCACAGGUCUUGAUGCUGAACCUGAAAUUCAAACUCCUCGUCCUGGAACGAAUGCAGAAGAGCAAGUAGAUGAUCUGCAUCAUACACAUGGAAAGAAUGACUCUUGUCAGGAAAUUUCACAGGCAGAUAAGGCCACGAGCAUCAAUGAUCAUGAUGCAAGCAACCGGAAGCUUGAGUUCAGCCAAAGUGAUGCCAUUAAGCUGGUACAGCAAGCAUUUGACAAGAUCCUCUCUGAAAUUCCAGACCAUUCAUCAGAUGAUCAAACAAUUGUUAGUGAGAAAACUUCAGACCAGGAGCUCUUGUAUCAGAAGCAAGAUGAAGGCAAAGAGAACAUCUCAACUUCCUCUAAUUCCAUUGAAGAGUGUAUGGUACAGAAUCAAGAAGAAAUGAAGAUUAAAAGUGAUAAAGAAAUUGCAUCUGAAGAAGUGAAAGCAGCCCCAAAGGAAGGAAAAAUGUCUGACAAGCAAAUGCCAAGCAGCUGGAGCAAUCUGAAAAAGAUCAUAAUCCUCAGGAGAUUUGUCAAGUCAUUAGAGAAGGUGAGGAACUUAAAGCCAAAAACAAUACCUUAUCUUCCUACAGCCAAAGACCCAGAAGCACAAAAAAUUCAACUGAGGCAUCAAACUGAGAAAGAGAGAAAAAACGCCGAGGAAUGGAUGCUUGACCAUGCACUUCGUCAAGUGAUUUCAACACUGGCUCCAUCUCAGAAAAGAAAAGUUGCUAUGUUGGUACAAGCUUUUGAAACCGUCAUCCCAGCAGAAAAUGGAGAUGAUGUAAGGUCCAAUGCAGCAGCUUCUUCUCCUACAACUUCUGUUCAAGCCUAUAAUGAGUUCUCAGUUGACAAUGGUGCUGGCACGCCAAAUGAAAAUGGUUCAGAAAUCUCCCCGGGAAAACUAUUGCAGUCUGAAAUGGAUUCCACAGAUGAUCGUGGCCAAGUCACUGUAUCCAAUAUAGCAUACCAGAAAUUGACAAAAUCAUCUCCGGAUUCUAAAGAAACAAGUCUUAUUUGUAGCAGCAAAGAACAACCGUUGUGUGUAGCAGGCUCAGAAAUGAGCGGUACAGACAUGAACAAAGAAGAUACUAAUGCAGUUGGUGAAAAUAAUGGGAAUGAAGUUUCGAUUGUCGACCUCUCUUUGUCAGAACUUGAAAAACCCAGACCAGCUGAUAAGUCCUUAACUGAUGAGGAUGCAAUAAGGACUUCUAAUGACAAAAUUUUCCCAGUAAAUGAAGAAGUUAUCCCAAAGGAAAAAAUUUCAGCUCCUAGCUCAGAAGUCUGCAAUUCGGGUUCUGAAUUUGAUAUAAAGGAGAUGGAUUUGGAAUCUAGUGACUCAAGUAAUUCACCUGAUCAGCAACCUGGUACACCUGAAUGGCCAACAGAAAUUGGAGAAGGAGCUCAGCCAAAAUAUAAAUUCCUCCAUUCACCACUUGAAAAACCCGAGUCAAAUUUCGCAGCUGAUAUUUCUAAGUCGGAAAGACAAAAAUACACGAGGCUUUGGUACUUAAUAUAUAAGCACAUGGUGUCAGGUGGUGCCACGGAAAAUGGAUCACAACGGCUUCAGAGUUUAUCAGAUGAGGAAGUACAAGGUGAUGAUGCCAGCAAACAUUCUAGAGAGAACGACACUGAUGGUCACAGUUCAUUUGCAGCAGGUCAGGACAUGAUUGAGAAUUACUCACCAGGCUGCAACAAUGAGAUUAUAAAGCUGGUAGAAGAAGCCAUUGAUGAGAUACCUCUCCCAGAAAUUCAACAAGACACAUCAGAUAAUCAAUCAGUUAUUGGUGAUGUAGUUCCAGAUCUAGAACUUCCUGAGAAGAAACAUGGACAAGAAGAGGUAAAAAUCAUCUCCAGUUCUACUGGUCCUGCUAAAGAGACUUCUGAAGAAGCUAAAACCAUAAGAACAGAACUUUGUUCAACCUUGAAUUCUAAAGAGAAAACAUGGAGUUCUAAAAAUGUCAACACCAAAAUGGAAGCAAAAGGAGGGACAGAUGCGGGAAUUCAAUCGAAGAAGAGAGUGCAGAGAAAUUGGAGCAAUCUGAAAAAAUUAAUCCUCCUCAGGAGAUUUGUCAAGGCAUUGGAAAAAGUCAGAGAAUUUAACCCAAGGGGACCUAGAUACCUGCCCGUAGAUCCUGCAGCAGAAUCAGAGAAAGUUCUCCUAAGGCAUCAGAAUAUGGGAGACAGAAAAAAUGCUGAAGAAUGGAUGUUAGAUUAUGCACUUCAACAAGUGGUUGCUAAACUAACUCCAGAAAGGAAGAGGCGAGUAGGGCUGCUUGUCGAAGCAUUUGAGACUGUCAUUCCGGCUAUAAGUUGAAAUCAUCAAAAGUGCUGAUAUACCUCCUCCAGCAACAACCAGUCAAAUUGGUGUCAGUUUACAAGGUAAGACCAAAAGAAGUGGCCAUUUCAUACGGCCAAUCUGAAUGAAACAGAAACAUCAAUUCGUUCGGGUGAAACAUCACAGUAGGAAAAGAACAGAAAUUAGGAGGUAGCAGUUAAGAGUCUGAGAAGUUGCAAGUUCCAUAUUUUUUCUGAAACCUCAAAGCAUAUUUUGAGCAUGCUUAUGAUGGGGAAAAAAUAAGAAUACCAUAAGUGUACUUGUAUAAGUAUGGUGUUGUUAGUCCUUUCUGAAAACUAGAGCAAUUGUUCUGAUAAAUGGUUAUGGAUGUCAGAGAUAA
Gossypium raimondii (Peruvian cotton) is the source of this 4606-nucleotide RNA transcript. It is a transcript of the gene named calmodulin binding protein PICBP, with no coding region annotated. The record is from RefSeq and is a predicted model, not a curated record. Lineage: Eukaryota; Viridiplantae; Streptophyta; Magnoliopsida; Malvales; Malvaceae. The transcript is spliced from 3 exons.